Molecule: ribosomal RNA, 810 nt
Filed under: uncultured bacterium
Lineage: Bacteria
Description: bacterial SSU rRNA
Rfam family: Bacterial small subunit ribosomal RNA
Source: RNAcentral
AGAGUUUGAUCCUGGCUCAGAACGAACGCUGGCGGCGUGGAUAAGACAUGCAAGUCGAGCGAGAUUUUUCGUUGUAGCAAUACGAUGGAAAAUUUAGCGGCGAACGGGUGCUUAACACGUGGGCAACCUGCCAUGAAGUGGGGGAUAGCUCGCCGAAAGGCGAAUUAAUACCGCAUGUGAUUAGAGAGGACAUCCUUUCGAAAUUAAAGUCGGGGCAACCUGACGCUUCUUGUGGGGCCCGCGGCCUAUCAGCUAGUUGGUGAGGUAACGGCUCACCAAGGCUUUGACGGGUAGCUGGUCUGAGAGGACGACCAGCCACACUGGGACUGAGACACGGCCCAGACACCUACGGGUGGCAGCAGUCGAGAAUUUUUGACAAUGGGGGAAACCCUGAUCGAGCGACGCCGCGCGGAGGAUGAAGGUCUUCGGAUUGUAAACUCCUGUCAUUUGGGAACAAGGUGCACACGUUAACUGCGUGAGUAUUGAUAGUACCAGAAGAGGAAGGGACGGCUAACUCUGUGCCAGCAGCCGCGGUAAUACAGAGGUCUCAAGCGUUGUUCGGAUUCAUUGGGCGUAAAGGGUGCGUAGGCGGCGCGGUAAGUCGGGUGUGAAAUCUCGGAGCUUAACUCCGAAACUGCAUUCGAUACUGCCGUGCUUGAGGACUGGAGAGGAGACUGGAAUUUACGGUGUAGCGGUGAAAUGCGUAGAUAUCGUAAGGAAGACCAGUGGCGAAGGCGGGUCUCUGGACAGUUCCUGACGCUGAGGCACGAAGGUCAGGGGAGCAAACGGGAUUAGAUACCCUAGUAGUCC